Molecule: long non-coding RNA, 1016 nt
Organism: Lutra lutra (Eurasian river otter)
Lineage: Eukaryota; Metazoa; Chordata; Mammalia; Carnivora; Mustelidae
Exons: 6
Source: RefSeq, a predicted model, not a curated record
UACAUGUUGCCAAAGGUUACAAAAGUUGAAUUCUAAAAUGAAAAUAUUUCUUCUAUAGAAGUGGUACACCAUAUGCAUCCCACAAAUUCAGAGAUAUGUAAGGAUAUGACCUUUGUGUGAACACUGAUGAAUCUAGCAUAAUACUGCUUGGCUUCAAUGGAUUAUUCACAGCAGAAGUAGUUGAAGUGUAUGCCUUGUUUUCUAAGACCACUGUGGGGGAUAAGGGGUUUAUUCCCAGUAUCUAUAAAGAUCCAGGGGCAAGAAAAGAAAAAAAAAAAAAUCAAAGCACACCGAAGAGGCCCUGUGAAGAUAUUGGAAGACAGGUGUCUACAAGCCAGGAAGAGAGGCCUUGCCAAAAUCCAACCCUGAUGACAAUUUGAUCUUGGACUUCUGCCCCCAGAACUUGAAAUGGUAGCGCUACUGCUGCCAACUUUCUACCCGCUUUGGAGAAAGCUGGAGUACCAGAGGGAGGCAGACCAUACAGAAGCAGAGAAAGCACUGUCUCAAGGCUCACCCCCAAAGCAUUAAAAAGACAUUUCACUCAGCAAAAGAAUAUUUUGAUUAUGCAAAACAGAUGUCACAUCCCAACCCCAUGUUGCUAAGUCUCACAAGAGAACAUCUUGAACUGCAACGAAAUUAUGAAGCCACAUAAAAGAAGGUUUCUCCCUCACUGUCCCUCAUCUUCUAAUACUAAAGAAGCAACUAAAGAAGAUUUUGCAAAUUAUUAUAAUUUUUAUGUAAUGGGAAUAGUCCAUUGUGCCAAGAUCCUAAGCAAACCCACCACCUAGUGACAUGCAGGGCAUUUGUCUACACCUUCAGAGCUUGCCAGAGCUACAGAUGCCAUCUUCCUGAACUGCCUUUGAAGUUCUCCUGUUUUUGCACUACAAAGAGGUACCAAGACGAUAGUAGGGAUGCAGGGAACAGGUCCCAUUCCCCAAUUCAAAAAAUGUCAGACAUAUUUUAUGAGCCUAAAUGACUUUGGGUCUCAUUGUCAAAAUCUUUCUUCACCAAGAGAU